RNAcentral lists this microRNA precursor (361 nucleotides) under Oryza sativa (Asian cultivated rice). RNAcentral's name for it is "miR2877 stem-loop (osa-MIR2877)". The record is from miRBase by way of RNAcentral. Lineage: Eukaryota; Viridiplantae; Streptophyta; Magnoliopsida; Poales; Poaceae.
AAUCUUGGUUUAAUGUAUCAUCCGAUGUCCAAAGUGCAGAUGACGCAGCUUGGGUGCUGAUGUGGCAAUCCACGGUGGUGAGAAUUUUGCAUUUAGCCCCCUCAUGCUACAGUAUGCCUUCAAGUCUACUCCCACCACUCCCAAAUCUUUUGGUGCAUGGCUUAAACUAUGAAUUUGCUGGAUGCUGAGAAAUGCAUAUUUGUUGAUUUGGGGUGGUAGGAGUCGAUUUCGGGGCAUACUAUAGUGAAGAGGCGUAAGUGCAAAAUUCUCGUCACUGUGGACAAGCCUGAGUUGCAUCCUCUGCACUUUGGGCCUCGAGUGAUACAUUAAACCAAGAUUAAGGGUGUUUUUUAGAGGGAAA